This is a long non-coding RNA of Tachysurus fulvidraco (yellow catfish), 1951 nucleotides long. RefSeq lists it as uncharacterized. The record is from RefSeq and is a predicted model, not a curated record. Lineage: Eukaryota; Metazoa; Chordata; Actinopteri; Siluriformes; Bagridae. The transcript is spliced from 2 exons.
AAUCACGUUCUUCCUUUUCUCUAACGUACCGCCCACUGGCGUUCCUGCGUUGCCAUGGUUACACUCAUGACGCUACAAGAAGGGACGUAAACAAACGAGCUCUGAGGUGAACCGAGGCUCCCAGUGCGUGUGUGUUAGGAUGUAGCUCUGCAUAGGCGUCAGUUUAUUUCGGUUAAACACCUGACGACCACAUGGAAACGUAUGUGCUUAAAAAACGACAUAUUUGUCUUAUUUUGUUCUUAACGUGAGCGAAAGUGCGUCUUCUUCUUGAGCUUAUUAAUGCGCUCUAACGGGGUGUUAUCGCCACCUACCGGUACUAAUGGGCAUGACAACUAAAAAAAGGAGAGUGGAAACUUCAUCUUAUUAUAUACCUGCAGGAACGUGCAGGUGUACAGGGGUCGCCACAGAGACUCCGCGGUUUGCACCAAUCUCUAUCCUCAGCAUCCUCUACUCUCGCACCAAUUACCUUCAUGUCCUCAUUUAACACAUCCAUAGAUCUCCUCUUUGGCCUUCCUCUUGACCUUUUACCUGGCAGCUCCAUCGCCAACAUCCUUCUACCAAUAUAACCAUCUCUCUCUUCUGUACAUGUCCAAACCAUCUCAGUUUACAACAAACUAUAAGUUUUUUUUUUUGUAAAUUGUGGACCUUACAAUACCAGUGUUACCAAUUUUUUUACCACAUGUUAAAUCUAUACGAGUGUGAAGUGUAAAGGACCUUGCAGAUGAUGAAGGUGCCAGGAAUCAGCACAAACAGCAGCAGAAGAACCCCUUGAAUAGUGAUGAUGCUGUUCUUACUCUCCUCACUGAUGUGCAGGUUCAUCUGUAUGGGGGCUAAUGAGAAACACAGAUUAUGUUCUGUCUCUAUAUACAGUAUUAUAGAUUAAUAAACAGCAAAUGGUUCCUUCUCGUAACCUCCUCAUCUCUUCACGAACCUUGUCAAAAAAUCCUACUUUCAUGAAUUUCAGUUUGUCUUGCAGGUUUUUUCUGCUAAAAGACAAAUAUUAUUGCAACUCUACUUGUUUUUUUUUAUAUAUAAUGUUUUCUAAAAAAAUAUUAAAAAUAAUUUAAAUUUUCCCAAAUAAAAUUUGACCCUAAUUGUAUUUAAAUGAAACAUCUUAAUUUGAAUUGAUCAUUAAUACUUAAUAAUUAAUGGAAAAGAAAGUUUUAAACAGUUCACAGUUAUACAGUGCUGAGAAUUCUCUCUCUCUCUCUCUCUCUCUCUCUCUCUCUCUCUAUAUAUAUAUAUAUAUAUAUAUAUAUAUAUAUAUAUAUAUAUAUAUAUAUAUAUACUCACAUAUUAUAAAUGAUAUAUGUUUCAACGACUUCUAUCAAUGUCCUUGUAUUGCUUCUUUAGUGACAGCUCACACCACAGACAUAUAUCUAUCUAUCUAUCUAUCUAUCUAUCUAUCUAUCUAUCUAUCGAUCUAUCUAUCUAUAUAUAUAUAUAUCUAUAUCUAUAUCAUAUAUAUAUAUAUAUAUAUAUAUAUAAACAGGAUGUGAUGAUUAUUCCACAUCUAAAGAAAUAUCACAUUAAAUUCCUGAAGUCAAAAAAAAAAUGUCUUGCAUUGAAGACAAACCCGGUAGAAGUGAUCCUCUAAGACAAAUAAAUAGGUAUCUUAAAUGAAUGGCUUCAAAAUGGGAUGGAAAUUGUAAUUAAAAUACCUUUUUUUGUUUCUUAUUGCCAUCAUUUAAAAUUUUUUGACAAGGAAACGGGAAACUGACAUUAACACACCUACUAUAUAUUUCUAUCAAAUAUAGUUUACACACAUCUAUGGGCUUGUAUGUGGUUCAGAAGAUCAGAAACAGAGCAACAUUAUUUAUUAUGUCACUGGCUAUAAAAUAACAUCAAAUUUCUAGUGUCGAUUUUCUAUUGUUGACUUUAAAAUAAACAUGGCUGCUCAAAUGGUAAAAUAUUCAUAUAAAAUAUUAAUGCUACCAUCUGAAGAGAAAUA